UUAAGCGACUAAGCGUACACGGUGGAUGCCCUGGCAGUCAGAGGCGAUGAAGGACGUGCUAAUCUGCGAUAAGCGUCGGUAAGGUGAUAUGAACCGUUAUAACCGGCGAUUUCCGAAUGGGGAAACCCAGUGUGAUUCGACACACUAUCAUUAACUGAAUCCAUAGGUUAAUGAGGCUAACCGGGGGAACUGAAACAUCUAAGUACCCCGAGGAAAAGAAAUCAACCGAGAUUCCCCCAGUAGCGGCGAGCGAACGGGGAGCAGCCCAGAGCCUGAAUCAGUAUGUGUGUUAGUGGAAGCGUCUGGAAAGGCGCGCGAUACAGGGUGACAGCCCCGUACACAAAAAUGCACAUGCUGUGAGCUCGAUGAGUAGGGCGGGACACGUGGUAUCCUGUCUGAAUAUGGGGGGACCAUCCUCCAAGGCUAAAUACUCCUGACUGACCGAUAGUGAACCAGUACCGUGAGGGAAAGGCGAAAAGAACCCCGGCGAGGGGAGUGAAAAAGAACCUGAAACCGUGUACGUACAAGCAGUGGGAGCACAGAGCAAUCUGUGUGACUGCGUACCUUUUGUAUAAUGGGUCAGCGACUUAUAUUCUGUAGCAAGGUUAACCGAAUAGGGGAGCCGAAGGGAAACCGAGUCUUAACUGGGCGUUAAGUUGCAGGGUAUAGACCCGAAACCCGGUGAUCUAGCCAUGGGCAGGUUGAAGGUUGGGUAACACUAACUGGAGGACCGAACCGACUAAUGUUGAAAAAUUAGCGGAUGACUUGUGGCUGGGGGUGAAAGGCCAAUCAAACCGGGAGAUAGCUGGUUCUCCCCGAAAGCUAUUUAGGUAGCGCCUCGUGAAUUCAUCUCCGGGGGUAGAGCACUGUUUCGGCAAGGGGGUCAUCCCGACUUACCAACCCGAUGCAAACUGCGAAUACCGGAGAAUGUUAUCACGGGAGACACACGGCGGGUGCUAACGUCCGUCGUGAAGAGGGAAACAACCCAGACCGCCAGCUAAGGUCCCAAAGUCAUGGUUAAGUGGGAAACGAUGUGGGAAGGCCCAGACAGCCAGGAUGUUGGCUUAGAAGCAGCCAUCAUUUAAGAAAGCGUAAUAGCUCACUGGUCGAGUCGGCCUGCGCGGAAGAUGUAACGGGGCUAAACCAUGCACCGAAGCUGCGGCAGCGACGCUUAUGCGUUGUUGGGUAGGGGAGCGUUCUGUAAGCCUGUGAAGGUGUGCUGUGAGGCAUGCUGGAGGUAUCAGAAGUGCGAAUGCUGACAUAAGUAACGAUAAAGCGGGUGAAAAGCCCGCUCGCCGGAAGACCAAGGGUUCCUGUCCAACGUUAAUCGGGGCAGGGUGAGUCGACCCCUAAGGCGAGGCCGAAAGGCGUAGUCGAUGGGAAACAGGUUAAUAUUCCUGUACUUGGUGUUACUGCGAAGGGGGGACGGAGAAGGCUAUGUUGGCCGGGCGACGGUUGUCCCGGUUUAAGCGUGUAGGCUGGUUUUCCAGGCAAAUCCGGAAAAUCAAGGCUGAGGCGUGAUGACGAGGCACUACGGUGCUGAAGCAACAAAUGCCCUGCUUCCAGGAAAAGCCUCUAAGCAUCAGGUAACAUCAAAUCGUACCCCAAACCGACACAGGUGGUCAGGUAGAGAAUACCAAGGCGCUUGAGAGAACUCGGGUGAAGGAACUAGGCAAAAUGGUGCCGUAACUUCGGGAGAAGGCACGCUGAUAUGUAGGUGAAGUCCCUCGCGGAUGGAGCUGAAAUCAGUCGAAGAUACCAGCUGGCUGCAACUGUUUAAUUAAAAACACAGCACUGUGCAAACACGAAAGUGGACGUAUACGGUGUGACGCCUGCCCGGUGCCGGAAGGUUAAUUGAUGGGGUUAGCGCAAGCGAAGCUCUUGAUCGAAGCCCCGGUAAACGGCGGCCGUAACUAUAACGGUCCUAAGGUAGCGAAAUUCCUUGUCGGGUAAGUUCCGACCUGCACGAAUGGCGUAAUGAUGGCCAGGCUGUCUCCACCCGAGACUCAGUGAAAUUGAACUCGCUGUGAAGAUGCAGUGUACCCGCGGCAAGACGGAAAGACCCCGUGAACCUUUACUAUAGCUUGACACUGAACAUUGAGCCUUGAUGUGUAGGAUAGGUGGGAGGCUUUGAAGUGUGGACGCCAGUCUGCAUGGAGCCGACCUUGAAAUACCACCCUUUAAUGUUUGAUGUUCUAACGUUGACCCGUAAUCCGGGUUGCGGACAGUGUCUGGUGGGUAGUUUGACUGGGGCGGUCUCCUCCUAAAGAGUAACGGAGGAGCACGAAGGUUGGCUAAUCCUGGUCGGACAUCAGGAGGUUAGUGCAAUGGCAUAAGCCAGCUUGACUGCGAGCGUGACGGCGCGAGCAGGUGCGAAAGCAGGUCAUAGUGAUCCGGUGGUUCUGAAUGGAAGGGCCAUCGCUCAACGGAUAAAAGGUACUCCGGGGAUAACAGGCUGAUACCGCCCAAGAGUUCAUAUCGACGGCGGUGUUUGGCACCUCGAUGUCGGCUCAUCACAUCCUGGGGCUGAAGUAGGUCCCAAGGGUAUGGCUGUUCGCCAUUUAAAGUGGUACGCGAGCUGGGUUUAGAACGUCGUGAGACAGUUCGGUCCCUAUCUGCCGUGGGCGCUGGAGAACUGAGGGGGGCUGCUCCUAGUACGAGAGGACCGGAGUGGACGCAUCACUGGUGUUCGGGUUGUCAUGCCAAUGGCACUGCCCGGUAGCUAAAUGCGGAAGAGAUAAGUGCUGAAAGCAUCUAAGCACGAAACUUGCCCCGAGAUGAGUUCUCCCUGACUCCUUGAGAGUCCUGAAGGAACGUUGAAGACGACGACGUUGAUAGGCCGGGUGUGUAAGCGCAGCGAUGCGUUGAGCUAACCGGUACUAAUGAACCGUGAGGCUUAACCUU
Molecule: ribosomal RNA, 2904 nt
Filed under: Escherichia coli DEC9D
Lineage: Bacteria; Pseudomonadati; Pseudomonadota; Gammaproteobacteria; Enterobacterales; Enterobacteriaceae
Description: bacterial LSU rRNA
Rfam family: Bacterial large subunit ribosomal RNA
Source: RNAcentral